GUCCACGCCUUAAACUAUGGAUACUAAGUGUCGGCGGGUUACCGCCGGUGCCGCAGCUAACGCAGUAAGUAUCCCGCCUGGGAAGUACGGCCGCAAGGUUGAAACUCAAAGGAAUUGACGGGGGCCCGCACAAGCGGUGGAGCAUGUGGUUUAAUUCGACGCAACGCGAAGAACCUUACCCAGGCUGGACAUGCAGGUAGUAGAAGGGUGAAAGCCUAACGAGGUAGCAAUACCAUCCUGCUCAGGUGCUGCAUGGCUGUCGU
RNAcentral lists this ribosomal RNA (263 nucleotides) under uncultured bacterium. RNAcentral's name for it is "partial 16S ribosomal RNA". It matches the Rfam family "Bacterial small subunit ribosomal RNA", at positions 793 to 1055 of the family's 1533-position model. The record is from RNAcentral.